UCAGUUGCUGUCUGUGGGGUUUGCCUUGAGGAUGGAGGGUGGGAAGUCUUGGCCCUGGGAGCAGGAGUUUUUCUCCUGGCUCUUCCAUGGGAAAAGUAGAGAUGCACCAUGUCUGGAGGAUAGAGGUCCUGGGAGGUGUUUUUCUGGAUGGAAGGAAAUAUGCAUCUUCUGAAUGGACUUUUUUUUGCUGUUUGACAUCUCCUUUCCAGAUGACACCUUUGACUGGAAGUGACAGUGGAGCAGAUCAUUUGUGUAAUUACAGCAACAGUCGUUGAGGAAGGAAAGAAUAUCUCCAAAGCAUAUAAAACAUGAAAUGGAUUUGAUAGUGUAUGAACCCUGUAACCGGAGCUGCAGGAACCUUCUGGCUUAGUGAGGCUAUAAAACCGGGGUGAGGUACUUUACACUUCGUUCUAGGAAACAUCAUGCAUGAUGUAAAUGUGUCAGGGUUUCCUACGAUGAACGCACAAAGCAAUAAGCAGAAAAGCUGGAGUAUCCACAAAGCAAGAUUGAAGUGAUAUGCUGCCGAAAAGGAAAAUUCCUGUAAUGGUAAAACAAAUGCUUAGGAUGUGUUGCAAGCAACAAAUUCCUUAAAUACCGUGUGAGAAAGUCCUGGGCACAAUAGCCUGUACACAACUGAGAACCUGAAUAUCUUGUAUGCAAUUGAGCCGAAGCUGUCAGAGCAAGUGAAGCUGUCCCACCAGUGCUGGUGGGAACUCCAGGAGCUGUAAGAUCAUGGUGAAAACCAAAUGCUUCCUGAGAUAGGUACUGUUCUCGUGCCUACAUAUACACCAGGAAGACUGGAAAACUGCCCCAGAGAGCUAAAUGUCUAGUCAACAUCAAAGACAGCAGAGAGGUGCCUGGCUGUGCUUUGUGUUGAUGAGCUGUGUGUGUGACUGAUGCUGCAUGCUGGUGGCUCAUCCUGCUGCACGUGGUGCUGUGACCUGCCUAAUCAAGCGCCAUGAGACUCUAACCUGCAGAACAUGAUGGGGAUCGGUACACAAUUUAAAUCUGUCAUGUUUUUUUUUUUUUUUUCCCUGCUACAGAUAAAAGUAUGUUGAUUUGCCAGCCCCAACUGUGAAAUGUUCCCACUGCCUGAACCAUUUUCUGCACAACACUUGUUUUCUUUGUAAAAGCUUUUUUCUAUUGAUCUGAAUUGACUUGUGCAGGAAAGCCUUGUGAGUUCAAUGCAAAUUGUUACUGGGCACUUACUGUGAGCAGCAGAGCAAUACAAAAGGAUGCUGUUGAUGUAGAUGUGCAGUGUAUGUAUUUCAGGACGUCUCCCUGUAUUGAUAUUUGGUCUGAUCUUGCUUUCAGAGUAUAAGCAAGUAGUCAAUUAAUGCAUUUUUAAAUGUUUUGAGGAGAAGCUAAAUCUAAAAUCCGAGGAGGGCAUAUGUUUGGUAGAGCAAUGCUGAAUCUGUGCAUCUUUCCAUUUUCCAGACUGAACUGAAAUUGAUCUAAUUCUUUCAGCUGAGACAACAUCAACUACUACUUUUGUCCCAGGUGUACGUUGGAGAUGGGGAAAGGCACCAAAAUGCCACCAGAAACAGCAUCUCUUUUAGCUUUUUUUUCCCUUGCUGAAAUAAUUGUUUUUAAGAAGUUCUCUUUCUGUGAGUCAGUUGUGCAGCUCAGUUCCUUUAAUGAAAACCUGUGAGUAGGUUUGGGGUCAGAAGAAGUAUCAGUUUAAUGAUUUAACCAUGCAUACUCUGGAGCCCCCUUGAGCUCCCUGCUGCACCCAAUGUUCUCAGCCCGCAGGUUGCCCACAUGCCACAGUGAGUGGGGUGAAGUCUUGUUUGUUUGAGGAGUAUCUGUGCUAGCAGGAUUUGGCCCUUCAUACUUUUGUUCAAAAACACUGAAUGUUAUACAGCAGCAAGGCUUGUUGUAGUUCAACAUUUCUACAUCUGUGAUAGAAUAAAGCGCCCAAAGAGAACGCUUGCAGUAUUCAUGAUGGUAUUCUAGCUCCAGACUAAGAAGGAUUUGAUGGGAAAAAGACAAACUACUGAAUCUUCUGUUCAUGAACUAAAUCUCCAGGAGCGUGCACGUGGAGCAGCAGACCACAGGAAGCUCUUCCACCCAGCUGAGCCGUGCUGUUUACCCAAGGUCUGUCCCAGCAGCUCCCACCUCUGAGCCUUUCCUGAGCAUGAGCUACAAAAUUCAGUUCAAAGCUGUCAACCAAACCAUAAAUUAUCAAAUUUAUA
This is a long non-coding RNA of Oxyura jamaicensis (ruddy duck), 2195 nucleotides long. RefSeq lists it as uncharacterized. The transcript has 6 exons. Lineage: Eukaryota; Metazoa; Chordata; Aves; Anseriformes; Anatidae. The record is from RefSeq and is a predicted model, not a curated record.